GGCUGAUCCAAAGGUAGUGAGUUAUCUCAAUGGAUGGUUCACAAUCAGUUACAGAUUGAACUUCCUUCCUCCUCACUACUGCACUUGACUAGAGAUAG
Unclassified non-coding RNA from Mus spicilegus (steppe mouse), 98 nucleotides. It matches the Rfam family "Y RNA". From Rfam's summary of the family: Y RNAs are components of the Ro ribonucleoprotein particle (Ro RNP), in association with Ro60 and La proteins. The Y RNAs and Ro60 and La proteins are well conserved, but the function of the Ro RNP is not known. Lineage: Eukaryota; Metazoa; Chordata; Mammalia; Rodentia; Muridae. The record is from Ensembl.